AAGCAUGUCAGAAUUUACUUGCCAGAGAGAAGGAACAAACUCUAAGGAGAAAAAGUCAUAGUGUAUUUAACUACAGUAUAAGCAGGAAAAAAAAUAAUGAGGACUAACUUUACAUCUGGUCUCAAACUGUAAUGAGUUACUUCCAACUAUUGGAUUAGGAUAAAUAUAUCAACCACAUUUUAAGGUAAAAUCUGCUGUAUUGAAAGACUAAGGACUGAAACCCUGACUGCAUUGCUGGAAAGGAAGAGGAAAUAUCCUGGAUUUAGGAGAAGAGACAGAACCUGCUGUAACCUUACUAUGUUCCACAGGGGAAAGUAAGUCUGAAGCUGCCAGCUCUACUGCACGUAAGGACCUGUUCUCAAUCAAAUAUUGUUCCGUCUGCACUAUCAGACUUUCAAGAGAAGGAUCCAUACAGAAGAAACAACUUUUCCAAGUAUUUGGCCAUCUCCCAUGAUAUUUGAACUAUUAUUUUUCAAAAGAGAAAAAGCAACUUUGUCAGCAAUCCUAGUUUCCAGAGGUCACUGCCAGAUAAUUGCAAGUAAAAUACUCUCAAGUUGCCACCAAGUAUCCAUCACUAGACCGAUUUCUGAACUGUAAAUACAUCUAUCAAAGCCUGUCUGUUCAUCACCACUGGAACAAAGAAACUACUCCCAUCAGUUCUUGGUGCUCUAGACUACAGUUGUGACACAGAGUCUGAAGACAACAGUUUAUAUAGUGGGUUCUACAUCACUACAUCUACAACUAUAUCUACAGUGGGUGUAUAAGUCUCUUAAGAAUUCCAUGAAGGAAGGCACAGAAAAAGCAACUAGGUUUUAUCUCAAGAUUUUUGGCCAUUAAUGAAUAUUGGCGGGUUACCUACCAGACACAAAAGCACCGUUUGAUCCCAUCACAUACUUCAGCGGUUAAAGAAACAAAAAAAUGAAUUACUUUUUAGGUUUACUACCCUACAAAGUGCCUGUUUGGUUGAGACACAAACUGAAUCCUCAAGAUCUACUUUACAAAAUCUGAAACUUACUGUUCCACCAAACAUUCAUGUUUAAAGUAAUGAGCUUAAAGCAAAAGAAAAUGAAACAACAAACCCAGAAGCAACAAUAACAGAACCCCAACCCUUUUCAGUUGUCUCAUCAUUGUCCACUCUUGUAACAAAAGCCCCACCAGGCCUGGCCAUGGCUGUCAACUCCAGAACACUGUAACCAUGGUUGUUAACAUCACAAAUGUUGCUGAUGUCUUAUAAACUGUACUUUUACUACAAGUUCUCACCAAAAACAUAUUAUAUUCUCUUAAUUGCUCAGUAUUGGUUUCUAGAUCAUUCCUCUACCCUUUUUAUUCCCCUUGAUUAAGUUUAAAUAAAGCAUUG
Apus apus (common swift) is the source of this 1357-nucleotide long non-coding RNA. RefSeq lists it as uncharacterized. The transcript has 3 exons. Lineage: Eukaryota; Metazoa; Chordata; Aves; Apodiformes; Apodidae. The record is from RefSeq and is a predicted model, not a curated record.